GUUAUGAAAGUCGAAGGCAACAUGCUGAAGCUCGUAGAAGAUGAAGCAAAGGUUUCUUUAAACUUGAAGAACACUGCUGGCGUACAGGUAGAUGUCAAGAAUGAUGAGACCAGUAGCCUGAAGGAAAUUGAAAAUGUUGUUGUUUCUGUUAAUAAGGAGCCUCAGUUCGAUAAGAAAGACGUCAUUACUGCUAAUAAAUGAAUUUGCUAUGUCCCCCGUCAGUGAUGCUGCCGUUAAGAUAAAUAUGGCUAGGUCUGAUAUACAAGAAAACACUCCUACUAAUAAAGAUACUGACUAUGCAAAAAUGUCACCCGACGUCAACGAUGAAGACUUGACUAAGGUGAGUUCAUUAACACCAGAAGAUUCUAAUACUGAUUGUAGAAUUGUCGGAAAUAUGAAAGACGAUGCAAAGAAAGACAAAAUAGAGGAGAAUUCUUUCGUGUUCCCGAGCUUCAAUUUUAACAUCAGCCAAGACUGCCUAACUCCCAAGCUGAAUGAUGAUGAUGAUGAAAUCCAGAUUCUUGGUUCUACUCCAAGAACUAUAGAAAAAGCCGAAGUUACGGCCAAACAGGAAUUCUUUGAAGCGUAGGAAUUGAAGAGAGUUUUGGUCCCUGGAUUACACCAUUUAGGUGAAAGCUCGAAAAAUGUCUUCGAAACUGAUGGAGGUAAUAAAUUUAAUAAACGAAAUACUUCUUACCAAUAGCAUUGAAUAUUAUUUCUGACCUAAAAUCAACAAUUUCAGAUGGAAAAAAAGACCAGCAAAGGAUUAAUUGAUGAGAAGACUGCUGGGAAGAAGGCUGCAAAUCCUGGAGAAGUGAAUGAUAUCGAAGGUACGCGGGGGGCCGGUGACAACAACU
RNAcentral lists this long non-coding RNA (857 nucleotides) under Zostera marina. RNAcentral's name for it is "long non-coding RNA (ZMAR_LNC005780)". Lineage: Eukaryota; Viridiplantae; Streptophyta; Magnoliopsida; Alismatales; Zosteraceae. The record is from RNAcentral.